CUCUCUCUCUCUCUCAUAGCAUCUGGUAACAAUGCCUGAUACCUUAUGAUUAAAGUGCAUUGUCCUAAUAAGAUAAGAAAUAUACAGACCAUCUAUAGCUUUUUAUUUCUUUAUUUAUUAUCUAGUGAAAUGGAUCUAUAUACAGGACAAUGAGACAUGAAUAUACAAUGAACUUUUAGAGAUACAUAAUUAUGAAGGGUUAUUUAAAUGAUGAAAGGGGCUUGUAGUGUGUGAAUUAGCUCUCCUUGUAGUGGUGUUGGAACCUAUACAAGAUGUACAAUUAGAAUCAAACUCCUUAUAAGUGUAUUGAACUGCCCCUUAAAUAAGAAAAUAAAAAAAAUCACUGAGUAUACACAUUUGAAUUAUUGCCCAAUUUCAUGUUUUUUGGUGUUUUUUCAAUAUAUAUUUUUUUUAAGAUGGUUUGAGAUAGAUAGAUAGAUAGAUAGAGAGAGAGAUAGAGAGAGAAGGGAGAAGGAGGAAGGGGACAGAAAAAGAGAAGGGAGGGAAUGGAGGAGAGAGGGAGGAAAUGGAGAAGGAAGAGGGGAAGAAAGGGAGAUACGAAGAGAGAGAUAGAGAAAUGGAGAGGAGGAGAAAGAAGGGAGAUGAGAGGAAGGAAGGGAGAGAGAGAAGGAGGAGGAAGGGAGAGAGAAGAGAAGAAAGGGAGAGAAAGAGAGAGAAAGAGGGAGAGGAAAGAUGUUUUGCAUAUUCUAAAACACACACACACACACACACACACCAUAUCACUAGUCAAAUUGUUCCCAUAUUCUCAUUAUAAAUUAAUUACAAUGAAGGUGGUAGGUAGGGAGGUGGACUAUGAGGUCACUGAAGAGGUCAUUAUACAAGGAUUAUGAUUUUGUUAAUACUAUAGGCUUUUGUAAUGAUAGGUCAGGUAAGGUAAGGUAAGGUAAGGUAAGGUUAGGUUAGGUUAGGUUAGGUUAGGUUAGGUUAGGUUAGGUUAGGUUAGGUAAGGUUAGGUAAGGUUAGGUUAGGUUAGGUAAGGUUAGGUAAGGUUAGGUUAGGUAAGGUUUUAACAAACAAAAACAAACAAAUAAAUAAAAUAAAUAAAUAAAUAAAUACAUUUUCGACCUAUCCAUGUUAUCUGGUGCCUCAAUACAUCAAUAAAUAAAACAAAUAAAUAACAAAAACACACAUUU
Long non-coding RNA from Eriocheir sinensis (Chinese mitten crab), 1154 nucleotides. RefSeq lists it as uncharacterized. NCBI's taxonomy places the organism in Eukaryota, Metazoa, Arthropoda, Malacostraca, Decapoda, Varunidae. The record is from RefSeq and is a predicted model, not a curated record. The transcript is spliced from 2 exons.